UACGUAGGGUGCAAGCGUUGUCCGGAAUUAUUGGGCGUAAAGAGCUCGUAGGCGGCUUGUCACGUCGGCUGUGAAAACCUGGGGCUCAACCCCGGGCCUGCAGCCGAUACGGGCAAACUAGAAUUCGGUAGGGGAGACUGGAAUUCCUGGUGUAGCGGUGAAAUGCGCAGAUAUCAGGAGGAACACCGGUGGCGAAGGCGGGUCUCUGGGCCGAUAUUGACGCUGAGGAGCGAAAGCGUGGGGAGCGAACAGG
Molecule: ribosomal RNA, 253 nt
Filed under: uncultured bacterium
Lineage: Bacteria
Description: partial 16S ribosomal RNA
Rfam family: Bacterial small subunit ribosomal RNA
Source: RNAcentral